Molecule: transfer RNA, 69 nt
Filed under: Elateroidea sp. 1 KM-2017
Lineage: Eukaryota; Metazoa; Arthropoda; Insecta; Coleoptera
Description: tRNA-Gln
Source: RNAcentral
UAUAUUUUAAUAUAAGAUGUAUAGAAAUUUUUGAUAUUUCAAGAAAUGGUUUAAUUCCAUUAAAUAUAA